GAUGAAGAACGCAGCGAAAUGCGAUACGCAAUGUGAAUUGCAGAAUUCAGUGAAUCAUCGAGUCUUUGAACGCACAUUGCGCCCCCUGGUAUUCCGGGGGGCAUGCCUGUCCGAGCGUCAUUGCUGCCCUCAAGCACGGCUUGUGUGUUGGGCCUCCGUCCUCCUCCCGGGGGACGGGCCCGAAAGGCAGCGGCGGCACCGCGUCCGGUCCUCGAGCGUAUGGGGCUUCGUCACCCGCUCUUGUAGGCCCGGCCGGCGCUUGCCGACACAUCAAUCUUUUUUCCAGGUUGACCUCGGAUCAGGUAGGGAUACCCGCUGAACUUAAGCAUAUCAAUAAGCGGAGGA
This 345-nucleotide unclassified non-coding RNA is filed under the name soil metagenome. RNAcentral describes it as "partial contains 5.8S ribosomal RNA, internal transcribed spacer 2, and large subunit ribosomal RNA". The stretch from base 1 to 120 matches the Rfam family "5.8S ribosomal RNA", at positions 35 to 154 of the family's 154-position model. The record is from RNAcentral.